Hyla sarda is the source of this 312-nucleotide long non-coding RNA. RefSeq lists it as uncharacterized. The record is from RefSeq and is a predicted model, not a curated record. The transcript is spliced from 3 exons. Lineage: Eukaryota; Metazoa; Chordata; Amphibia; Anura; Hylidae.
UUCAGAUCCAGAUGUGCUUCAGGUACAGCAGCAAAUGGUUCUUACCACAGAUUUACCAAGGAUUCUUACCACAAAAUUGCACCAAAUCUUUCCCCAAUCUACUACAAGUAGUUAGAGCCCAUCUCAGAAGCCCAUAGUGUUAUCAGUAACCCAGGAGAACAAAUCAGGAUGAAGAAGGGGACGAGAUGUUAUUUCUGGAAACAUGAAAUGUCAGAAGACAGAGAAAGAUACAUUGAAAAAUUGUGAAACAUCCAAUAAAAAGACGGCAAGUUACUUGUUACGCAGGUACCAACACCUUGGCCCACUAGAGGC